Molecule: non-coding RNA, 2639 nt
Organism: Coturnix japonica (Japanese quail)
Lineage: Eukaryota; Metazoa; Chordata; Aves; Galliformes; Phasianidae
Source: RefSeq, a predicted model, not a curated record
GACACACUUACAAAGGGGAUUUUGACCCUGAAAGAGGGGUAGGCGAGUAUAACGAAAAAGACUACAAAAAGUAAGGAAGAACAGUAGAAAUGAAGCAGAGUGUCAGGAAGAACUGUUCAAGAAAAAGAAGAAGUUAAGGUCCCCCUAGAUGUUCCCCAGCCUUUUUAAAAAGGAGAGCUGGAAAAAGACAGCUCUAUCUGGAUAAACAAACUGGGAAGACGCACCUGAUGAAAAUGUGUGUAUGAUCUGUGCCCACACGUGUGUUUUUCCAUUUAUACUUUUAUAGUGGGGAGAUCUAGAGCACACCAAUGCUCUAAUGGCAAUCGUACAUCGAAAAGCCUGGGAAGAAAACCAAUGACUCUGGCAGUGGAAGCAAUUUAUCUCUGCUGAGAACAUGGCACCCUUGGAUAGAUGAUGCACCCUGAUAUUGCCCUGCUAACAAGAUCCCCUAACUUGGAAGAUAACUGAGAGAAGUUCACACUGAUCACACUGACUAUCAACCAAAUGCUGCUCAGUAAAAGUCAAAGUCUGGAAAAAUACAUUAAGAUAAAGAAGAAUUAUGUCUCCUGAAGAAGAAAUGGGUUCAACUGAGAUAAAAAAUACAAAUGGCAGAUUUCCUACUCUGGUUCUUAGUGCUGUGCCUAAGCCAAAAACCCAGGAUGAGCUCUUGUGCUUGUGAGAGCUCGAACAAAUGUGACAGUCACUGAAAAUGUGCACUGUGGACUUGAAAGGUGCACAGAAGCUCUAGGAGGAGAUCUAAGUCUGCACAUUUUCAUUGUGAAUACCAGUCCUGAAGCCUGACAACAGCAGUUUAAAUAGAAAGUUGAUAACUAUUUCAUGGCUCAUGUUCUCAAGAGGAAUAUUCAAAUAACAGUAUAUUUCACUAUUGCUUUUCAGGUGCCUUCUUGCCUCCAAAUAUUCUGAUUUUAAAAUUCAUCUACAUAGUUUUAUAGUUUUUAAAUCCAGCUUUUAGACUGACUGGAUAGAGAAUUUUUUUUCAGCUCUUCAUUUCAGUGGUAGUGGAGAUACUUUUCAUAUCUAAAAAUUAUACCAGUUAUUUUAAUGUGAAAAUACAAUAAUAUUUUUAUUCUAGUUUAUUCUGAAGUUCUUGUUUGCACAUGAUGGAGUCUUUCAAUGUAAAUAAUUAACAUAUGAAUAGGCUUUAUCAGUGUUUAUUGAGAGCAGAAAAGCAAUGGAAUAAUGUCCAAUGACAGCUAUGAACAUUCUCUUUUUCCUUUCAUUGGUGCCAUAAAAAUAAAUGAAAAUAAAGUCCUCACCUCAGUCAGAAAAAAUUCUGCUGAGAUUAUGUGGUAAAUUAUUUGGAGAAAGAAUAUAACAUAAACAGAGAUGGUUAUGAGAAAGAUUUUCUGACAGAACAUCUCUUUAGAUUAAUACGUUUUGCACAAAUACAGCUUUGUGUUUUCAUUUGUUAGUAUAAAUGCAACUUAGCUGGAGUCAAAAGUAUUCUGGAUCUGCAUAUUAAUAGGAACUCUGUCUUGGAUUUUCCCUCUGUCAUUUACUUAACUCAUUAACUUAUACCUCAGACAUGGGGAAAGGAAAAGAAGAAAUCCCUUGCAGACUCUAUGAAUCUCUGCUGCUGAUUCCCAGCAGCCUCAGAACACGCUCCUUUCUGCCCCCAAAGAAACACCAUCUCCCUUGUCUGCUGAGUCCUUCUGUUCCAUGUGAAGCCUCUGCCUACCUCAGAACAGCUUCACCCGAGCAAAGAGAUCCAUCAGCUCUGGCAGAAGGUUAUCUCCAUGAUCAGAAAUGGGCUUCCCAGCAGCACCGGGUGAUGUUCUGAGACUUUUCUCUUCUUAUGUCAACAGCAGUGCUGAGAGGAUACCUCACUUUGCCAUCUAAAUUUGUAGCUUAACUGGAGCACAGCCGAGCAGCAGCCACCUCAGGACGGAAGUUUUAUUUUGAUCGUGCCCCAUGGAGGCAUCAUAGUGAAUGGUGAGGUUUGAAGAAUGAUAAUGAAAUUGCUCAGGACUGCUUAUGUAAACCUUCCUGGAAAUCUGUGAGGUAGGAAGAGAGACAGCACCAAGGUGCCUCUUACUAGUAUAACAAAUAGCGUUGCCAUUCUCAGCUGCCUGGGACUGGUGCUUUCAGCUCUUCUGUGCUGGCUGUAAAAUGAACUCACUUCUGCAGUCAGCAUUUGCAGACAUGCAUCUGUAUAUUAUUAUUGAAAAAAUCUUUUACAGAAUGACUAUAAUAGACAAUAAAUCUUGCUUUCUAUUUCUUCUUCUUCUUCUUCUUCUUUUUUUUUUCCUUUUCUUUUUGUUUUUUAAAUUGUAAUAUUAGACCAACAAGUAUUGAAAAUCAUCCUUAUUCACAACUUAUAAAAUGGCUUCCUUUCUGCAACAUCCCUGAAAGCACCCACUAUCUCAUUUUCUAAAUUCUUCUUUGAUAUUUUGUCUGGUUUUACAGAUUAUUAUUUGGACGCUGAAUAGUUAUUUCUGGAAAGAGAAAAAUUUCUGAUAGGAAUGCGAUAGGAUCCAUUCUUUUACCUUUGCGGAACAGUUUUAAGCAGGUAAGACAUACUUAAUGUUAUAGAGGUCAAAAGUGAAAUUGCUCAGUUUGGGAAUAGAGAAGGUUUCCUACCCCCCUCCCCCCCUUACAGUGCUUUAUUUCUGUAAGAA